This 1541-nucleotide ribosomal RNA is filed under the name human gut metagenome. RNAcentral's name for it is "bacterial LSU rRNA". It matches the Rfam family "Bacterial large subunit ribosomal RNA", at positions 1299 to 2925 of the family's 2925-position model. The record is from RNAcentral.
GGAAUGAGUAGCGAGAAUUAUGUGGGAAUCAUAAUGGCCGAAAAUCUAAGGUUUCCUGGGGAAGGUUCGUCCGCCCAGGGUAAGCCGGGAGCUAAGGCGAGGCCGCAAGGCGUAGUCGAUGCACAUACGGUAGAAAUUCCGUAGCCGGUACAAUUGUUAAUCACGGUGACACAUGAGUGUAGCUCUACCGGGCGUUGGUAGCCCCGGGCGUAAGCGAGCCGAAUGAGGCGAAGUGAGUAAAGCUUGUGGCGAGAAAAGCCGUGAGGAUUGGUUGUACUGCCCGUACCGCAAACCGACACAGGUAGAUGAGGAGAAGAUCCUAAGGCCAACGGGAGAAGGGUUGUUAAGGAACUAGGCAAAUUGACCCCGUAACUUCGGAAUAAGGGGUGCCUACGAAAGUAGGUCGCAGAGAAUAGGCCCAAGCAACUGUUUACCAAAAACACAGGUCUCUGCUAAAUCGAAAGAUGACGUAUAGGGGCUGACGCCUGCCCGGUGCUGGAAGGUUAAGAGGAGAGCUUAGGGAAACCGAAGGUUCGAAUUGAAGCCCCAGUAAACGGCGGCCGUAACUAUAACGGUCCUAAGGUAGCGAAAUUCCUUGUCAGGUAAGUUCUGACCCGCACGAAAGGCGUAAUGAUUUGGGCACUGUCUCAACAGCCCGCCCGGCGAAAUUGUAGUACCGGUGAAGAUGCCGGUUACCCGCAACUAGACGGAAAGACCCCAUGGAGCUUUACUGCAGCUUAAUACUGAGAUUCGGUAAAUCAUGUACAGGAUAGGUGGGAGACUGGGAAGCAUGGCCGUCAGGUCGUGUGGAGUCAUCCUUGGGAUACCACCCUUGGUUUGCUGGGUUUCUAACCUGCGGCCGUGAAUCCGGUCGGGGGACACUGUUAGGCGGGCAGUUUGACUGGGGCGGUCGCCUCCUAAAAUGUAACGGAGGCGCUCAAAGGUUGGCUCAGCAUGGAUGGAAACCAUGCAAUGAGUGUAAACGUAUAAGCCAGCCUGACUGCGAGACCGACGGGUCGAGCAGAGACGAAAGUCGGAGUUAGUGAUCCGGUGGUAUGUGAGUGGAAAUGCCAUCGCUCAACGGAUAAAAGCUACCCUGGGGAUAACAGGCUGAUCUCCCCCAAGCGUCCACAGCGACGGGGAGGUUUGGCACCUCGAUGUCGGCUCGUCGCAUCCUGGGGCUGAAUUAGGUCCCAAGGGUUUGGCUGUUCGCCAAUUAAAGCGGCACGCGAGCUGGGUUCAGAACGUCGUGAGACAGUUCGGUCCCUAUCUGUUGCGGGCGUAGGAGAUUUGAAGGGAGCUGUCCUUAGUACGAGAGGACCGGGAUGGACAUACCUCUGGUGUACCAGUUGUCCUGCCAAGGGCACGGCUGGGUAGCUACGUAUGGACGAGAUAAACGCUGAAGGCAUCUAAGCGUGAAACUCCCCCUGAGAUAAGAUCUCCACUGAGGCUCGACGUAGACUAUGUCGUAGAUAGGUCAGAGGUGGAAGUGCAGUAAUGCAUGGAGCUGACUGAUACUAAUAAGCCGAAAGCUUGACCAA